This 468-nucleotide ribosomal RNA is filed under the name uncultured bacterium. RNAcentral's name for it is "partial 16S ribosomal RNA". It matches the Rfam family "Bacterial small subunit ribosomal RNA", at positions 28 to 507 of the family's 1533-position model. The record is from RNAcentral.
GACGAACGCUGGCGGCGUGCUUAACACAUGCAAGUCGAACGGAAAGGCCCUGCUUUUGUGGGGUGCUCGAGUGGCGAACGGGUGAGUAACACGUGAGUAACCUGCCCUUGACUUUGGGAUAACUUCAGGAAACUGGGGCUAAUACCGGAUAGGAGCUCCUGCUGCAUGGUGGGGGUUGGAAAGUUUCGUCGGUUGGGGAUGGACUCGCGGCUUAUCAGCUUGUUGGUGGGGUAGUGGCUUACCAAGGCUUUGACGGGUAGCCGGCCUGAGAGGGUGAACGCCCACAUUGGGACUGAGAUACGGCCCAGUGUCCUACGGAAGGCAGCAGUGGGGAAUAUUGCACAAUGGGCGGAGGCCUGAUGCAGCAACGCCGCGUGCGGGAUGACGGCCUUCGGGUUGUAAGCCGCUUUCGCCUGUGACGAAGCGUGAGUGACGGUAAUGGGUAAAGAAGCACCGGCUAACUACGUG